Molecule: ribosomal RNA, 484 nt
Filed under: uncultured bacterium
Lineage: Bacteria
Description: partial 16S ribosomal RNA
Rfam family: Bacterial small subunit ribosomal RNA
Source: RNAcentral
AUUGAACGCUGGCGGCAGGCCUAACACAUGCAAGUCGAGCGGAUGAAGGGAGCUUGCUCCUGGAUUCAGCGGCGGACGGGUGAGUAAUGCCUAGGAACCUGCCUGGUAGUGGGGGAUAACGUCCGGAAACGGGCGCUAAUACCGCAUACGUCCUGAGGGAGAAAGUGGGGGAUCUUCGGACCUCACGCUAUCAGAUGAGCCUAGGUCGGAAUAGCUAGUUGGUGGGGUAAAGGCCUACCAAGGCGACGAUCCGUAACUGGUCUGAGAGGAUGAUCAGUCACACUGGAACUGAGACACGGUCCAGACUCCUACGGGAGGCAGCAGUGGGGAAUAUUGGACAAAGGGCGAAAGCCUGAUCCAGCCAUGCCGCGUGUGUGAAGAAGGUCUUCGGAUUGUAAAGCACUUUAAGUUGGGAGGAAGGGCAGUAAGUUAAUACCUUGCUGUUUUGACGUUACCAACAGAAUAAGCACCGGCUAACUUCGUG